AUUGAACGCUGGCGGCAUGCCUUACACAUGCAAGUCGAACGGUAACAGGUCUUCGGAUGCUGACGAGUGGCGAACGGGUGAGUAAUACAUCGGAACGUGCCUAGUAGUGGGGGAUAACUACUCGAAAGAGUGGCUAAUACCGCAUGAGAUCUACGGACGAAAGCAGGGGAUCGCAAGACCUUGUGCUAAUAGAGCGGCCGAUGGCAGAUUAGGUAGUUGGUGGGAAAAAAGCUUACCAAGCCGACGAUCUGUAGCUGGUCUGAGAGGACGAUCAGCCACACUGGGACUGAGACACGGCCCAGACUCCUACGGGAGGCAGCAGUGGGGAAUUUUGGACAAUGGGCGAAAGCCUGAUCCAGCAAUGCCGCGUGCAGGAUGAAGGCCUUCGGGUUGUAAACUGCUUUUGUACGGAACGAAAAGCCCUGGGUUAAUACCCUGGGGUCAUGACGGUACCGUAAGAAUAAGCACCGGCUAACUACGUGCCAGCCGCCGCCGUAA
Molecule: ribosomal RNA, 498 nt
Filed under: uncultured bacterium
Lineage: Bacteria
Description: partial 16S ribosomal RNA
Rfam family: Bacterial small subunit ribosomal RNA
Source: RNAcentral